UGGGGAAUAUUGGACAAUGGGCGCAAGCCUGAUCCAGCCAUGCCGCGUGAGUGAUGAAGGCCUUAGGGUUGUAAAGCUCUUUCGUCAGGGACGAUAAUGACGGUACCUGAAGAAGAAGCCCCGGCUAACUUCGUGCCAGCAGCCGCGGUAAUACGAAGGGGGCUAGCGUUGUUCGGAUUUACUGGGCGUAAAGGGAGCGUAGGCGGAUUGUUAAGUCAGAGGUGAAAUCCCAAGGCUCAACCUUGGAACUGCCUUUGAUACUGGCGAUCUUGAGUCCGGGAGAGGUGAGUGGAACUGCGAGUGUAGAGGUGAAAUUCGUAGAUAUUCGCAAGAACACCAGUGGCGAAGGCGGCUCACUGGCCCGGAACUGACGCUGAGGCUCGAAAGCGUGGGGAGCAAACAGGAUUAGAUACCCCGGUAGUCC
This 424-nucleotide ribosomal RNA is filed under the name uncultured bacterium. RNAcentral's name for it is "bacterial SSU rRNA". It matches the Rfam family "Bacterial small subunit ribosomal RNA", at positions 355 to 796 of the family's 1533-position model. The record is from RNAcentral.